GCCAGCAGCCGCGGUAAUUCCAGCUCCAAUAGCGUAUAUUAAAGUUGUUGCGGUUAAAAAGCUCGUAGUUGGAUUUCUGUUGAGGACGACCGGUCCGCCCUCUGGGUGAGUAUCUGGCUCGGCCUUGGCAUCUUCUUGGAGAACGUAACUGCACUUGACUGUGUGGUGCGGUAUCCAGGACUUUUACUUUGAGGAAAUUAGAGUGUUUCAAGCAGGCGUACGCCUUGAAUACAUUAGCAUGGAAUAAUGAGAUAGGACCUUAGUUCUAACUUGUUGGUUCUUAGGAAGAAGGUAAUGGUUAACAGGGAUAAUUGGGGGUAUUCGUAUUUAACUGUCAGAGGUGAAAUUCUUGGAUUUGUUAAAGACGGACAACUGCGAAAGCAUUUGCCAAGGAUGUUUUCAUUGAUCAAGAACGAAAGUUAGGGGAUCGAAGACGAUCAGAUACCGUCCUAGUCUUAACCAUAAACGAUGCCAGCUAGCGAUCUGCCUGCGUUUUUACUGUAGACUGGGCAGGAAGCUUCCGGGAAACCAAAGCAUUUGGGUUCCAGGGGAAGUAUGGUUGCAAAGCUGGAACUUAAAGGAAUUGACGGAAGGGCACCACCAGGAGUGGAGCCUGUGGCUUAAUUUGACUCAACACGGGAAAUCUCACCAGGCCCGGACACUGGAAGGAUUGACAGAUUGAUAGCUCUUUCUUGAUUCGGUGGGUGGUGGUGCAUGGCCGUUCUUAGUUGGUGGAGUGAUUUGUCUGGUUAAUUCCGAUAACGAACGAGACUCUGUCCUGCUAAAUAGUUUCUACUUCUCUUUUGAGUAGAAAUUUCUUCUUAGAGGGACUGGUGACUCUUAGUCACACGAGAUUGAGCAAUAACAGGUCUG
Molecule: ribosomal RNA, 873 nt
Filed under: uncultured eukaryote
Lineage: Eukaryota
Description: bacterial SSU rRNA
Rfam family: Eukaryotic small subunit ribosomal RNA
Source: RNAcentral